Molecule: transfer RNA, 69 nt
Filed under: Marmota monax (woodchuck)
Lineage: Eukaryota; Metazoa; Chordata; Mammalia; Rodentia; Sciuridae
Also listed under: 2 other names
Rfam family: tRNA
About the family: Transfer RNA (tRNA) molecules are approximately 80 nucleotides in length.
Source: Rfam by way of RNAcentral
UGAAGUGUAGCUCAGUGGUGAGCACUUGUCUGGCAUGCUUGAGGCCCUGGGUUCAAUUCCCAGCACCAA